AUACGGAGGGUGCAAGCGUUGUUCGGAAUCACUGGGCGUAAAGGGCGCGCAGGCGGUUUGGUAAGUCAGAUGUGAAAGCCCAUGGCUCAACCAUGGAAGUGCAUUUGAAACUGUCAGACUUGAGUACUAGAGGGGAAAGUGGAAUUCCCGGUGUAGUGGUGAAAUUCGUAGAUAUCGGGAGGAAUACCGGUGGCGAAGGCGACUUUCUGGCUAGAUACUGACGCUGAGGCGCGAAAGCGUGGGGAGCAAACAGGAUUAGAAACCCCAGUAGUCC
This 274-nucleotide ribosomal RNA is filed under the name uncultured bacterium. RNAcentral's name for it is "partial 16S ribosomal RNA". It matches the Rfam family "Bacterial small subunit ribosomal RNA", at positions 523 to 796 of the family's 1533-position model. The record is from RNAcentral.